Molecule: transfer RNA, 88 nt
Filed under: Elusimicrobiota bacterium
Lineage: Bacteria; Pseudomonadati; Elusimicrobiota
Description: tRNA-Ser
Rfam family: tRNA
About the family: Transfer RNA (tRNA) molecules are approximately 80 nucleotides in length. Their secondary structure includes four short double-helical elements and three loops (D, anti-codon, and T loops).
Source: RNAcentral
GGAGAGGUGUGUGAGUGGUUGAAACAGCAGGUCUCGAAAACCUGUAGGCUGCAAGGCCUCGAGGGUUCAAAUCCCUCCCUCUCCGCCA